GUAAUUUGCCGAGGACGAAAU
This 21-nucleotide microRNA is filed under the name Panagrellus redivivus. RNAcentral's name for it is "prd-miR-7957c-3p". The record is from miRBase by way of RNAcentral. Lineage: Eukaryota; Metazoa; Nematoda; Chromadorea; Rhabditida; Panagrolaimidae.